UGGGAAUGGUGAUGCCAUUUCCCAAGACAGCGUUUCCCAAGAAACUGGGAGAGAGAAGCAGAUGUGGAGGUGAGAGGUCAGAAGACAGAAUGAGUCCCGUUCAGUCCAAGGAGCCUGUGAGACAGUCAGCGAAGAUUCCAAGGAGCAGCCUCACCCCUGGGGAUGUCAGAUCCAUCAGUUCCUGAGUCUCAUGUCUUCAUCUUUCUUCAAUGUGUGGGGAAGCACAUCUUUCAUCGGCUUCCUAAGAAAGUGCAUGGAAGGAUACAAUGAAAAGGACAUUCGUAUACCAACAGAGGAUAUUCAUACAACACAAUAGACGUCUGAGAGACCCCCACAGCCAUACAUCUGAAGGUGGAGGUGCUGGACUCCCUGGAGGAAGUGGGAGUAGAUAAGGGAUCUUCUCUCCCACCCCAACGACAGUGACUGAGGGUGCAGGAACAUGCACAGCUGUGAGAGGAAUGCGGAGAGAGGGUAAGCCAUCCAUGGGAACUCCUUCACUCUCCAAGUUCCCUCACAGCCUGUGAGAAAGCCCCACACAGAGGUGAAAAUGCUAUUGCAGGGA
This 562-nucleotide long non-coding RNA is filed under the name Equus asinus (donkey). RNAcentral describes it as "lncRNA (ENSEASG00005035925.1)". Lineage: Eukaryota; Metazoa; Chordata; Mammalia; Perissodactyla; Equidae. The record is from RNAcentral.